UACGUAGGGUGCAAGCGUUAAUCGGAAUUACUGGGCGUAAAGCGUGCGCAGGCGGUUCGCUAAGACAGAUGUGAAAUCCCCGGGCUUAACCUGGGAACUGCAUUUGUGACUGGCGGGCUAGAGUAUGGCAGAGGGGGGUAGAAUUCCACGUGUAGCAGUGAAAUGCGUAGAGAUGUGGAGGAAUACCGAUGGCGAAGGCAGCCCCCUGGGCCAAUACUGACGCUCAUGCACGAAAGCGUGGGGAGCAAACAGG
RNAcentral lists this ribosomal RNA (253 nucleotides) under Paraburkholderia caledonica. RNAcentral's name for it is "partial 16S ribosomal RNA". It matches the Rfam family "Bacterial small subunit ribosomal RNA", at positions 524 to 776 of the family's 1533-position model. The record is from RNAcentral. Lineage: Bacteria; Pseudomonadati; Pseudomonadota; Betaproteobacteria; Burkholderiales; Burkholderiaceae. RNAcentral also lists the same sequence under 2 other names.